CCUACGGGUGGCAGCAGUGAGGAAUAUUGGUCAAUGGGCGUGAGCCUGAACCAGCCAAGUCGCGUGAGGGAUGAAUGUUCUAUGGAUCGUAAACCUCUUUUAUAAGGGAAUAAAGUGCGGGACGUGUCCCGUUUUGUAUGUACCUUAUGAAUAAGGAUCGGCUAACUCCGUGCCAGCAGCCGCGGUAAUACGGAGGAUCCGAGCGUUAUCCGGAUUUAUUGGGUUUAAAGGGUGCGUAGGUGGCUUUUUAAGUCAGCUGGUAAAGUCUGUGGCUCAACCGUAGAAUUGCAGUUGAAACUGGCAGUCUUGAGUACGGUUGAGGUAGGCGGAAUUCGUGGUGUAGCGGUGAAAUGCUUAGAUAUCACGAAGAACUCCGAUUGCGAAGGCAGCUUGCUAAGCCCUCACUGACGCUGAUGCACGAAAGCGUGGGUAUCAAACAGGAUUAGAUACCCGUGUAGUC
RNAcentral lists this ribosomal RNA (460 nucleotides) under uncultured bacterium. RNAcentral's name for it is "partial 16S ribosomal RNA". It matches the Rfam family "Bacterial small subunit ribosomal RNA", at positions 338 to 795 of the family's 1533-position model. The record is from RNAcentral.